UCAGACACGUCAGAGUUUGAUCCUGGCUCAGGAUGAACGCUGGCGGCGUGCCUAACACAUGCAAGUCGAGCGCGGUCCCUUUGGUGCUUGCACCAAAGACGACUGAGCGGCGGACGGGUGAGUAACGCGUGAGAAACCUGCCUUUUACAAAGGGAUAGCCUCGGGAAACUGGGAUUAAUACCUUAUGACACUUAAAUGUCGCAUGAGAUUUAAGUCAAAGCGUAAAGCGGUAAAAGAUGGUCUCGCGUCCCAUUAGUUAGUUGGUGAGGUAAAGGCUCACCAAGACAGCGAUGGGUAGCCGGCCUGAGAGGGUGAACGGCCACACUGGAACUGAGACACGGUCCAG
RNAcentral lists this ribosomal RNA (346 nucleotides) under uncultured bacterium. Its description in RNAcentral is "bacterial SSU rRNA". It matches the Rfam family "Bacterial small subunit ribosomal RNA", at positions 1 to 334 of the family's 1533-position model. The record is from RNAcentral.